UACACAGCUGUGCCUCAGGCUUGUGUGUGCGU
This 32-nucleotide non-coding RNA is filed under the name Mus musculus (house mouse). The record is from RNAcentral. Lineage: Eukaryota; Metazoa; Chordata; Mammalia; Rodentia; Muridae.